This 267-nucleotide long non-coding RNA is filed under the name Helianthus annuus (common sunflower). RNAcentral describes it as "sRNA HanXRQr2_Chr13g0566201". Lineage: Eukaryota; Viridiplantae; Streptophyta; Magnoliopsida; Asterales; Asteraceae. The record is from RNAcentral.
UUUUGAUGAUACAACAAGAACAAAACAAGCUUUUCUCCAGACAAGAUCACAGAGAUCGGAACUCGAAUUCUUAGAUUUGGUGAAGAAUCAAAACUUCUCUUUUCCGUUUAUAUCUCUUAUCAAUCAGUGUUGUGAAAAAUUAGGUGUAAAGGUUUGGCAGCCAUUAGAGACUAUAGAACGUGAGACACAAAGGCGAUGGUUGCAAUGAAGAAGAGGAAAUUGACACAUACGUUUUGCAUUGAUCCAUUGAUGACUGUUAAAAAGUGA